GACGUAGGGUGCGAGCGUUAAUCGGAAUUACUGGGCGUAAAGCGCACGUAGGCGGCUUUGUAAGUUAGAGGUGAAAGCCCGGAGCUCAACUCCGGAAUUGCCUUUAAGACUGCAUCGCUUGAAUCCGGGAGAGGUGAGUGGAAUUCCGAGUGUAGAGGUGAAAUUCGUAGAUAUUCGGAAGAACACCAGUGGCGAAGGCGGCUCACUGGACCGGUAUUGACGCUGAGGUGCGAAAGCGUGGGGAGCAAACAGG
Molecule: ribosomal RNA, 253 nt
Filed under: uncultured bacterium
Lineage: Bacteria
Description: partial 16S ribosomal RNA
Rfam family: Bacterial small subunit ribosomal RNA
Source: RNAcentral